GCUAUACACCGAAAUUGCGGAUUUACACUUGAAAGAUAGUGUAAGUGGUAGAGGAGCAUUCUGUAGUAGGGAGAAGCAAAAGCGAGAGCAUUUGUGGACGAGGCAGAAGAGAGAAUGCUGGAAUAAGUAGCGAGAGCAAGGUGAGAAUCCUUGCCGUCGAAAGUCUAAGGUUUCCUGGGGAAGGUUCGUCCGCCCAGGGUAAGUCGGGCCCUAAGGUGAGGCUGAAAAGCGUAGCCGAUGGACAGCAGGUUGAGAUUCCUGCACUAUAGAUAUACUUAAAAGAUGCAAGGGACGCAGGAGUGGAAGAUAAGCGAGGAAGAGGAAAGACUCGUAUCGCAAGAUAUAGUGAAAAUAAAGUAACGAAUUAUCAAGAAGCACACUGACGAGAAAAGCUUGUAGAUAUUGUAUAUAAAUACCCGUACCGCAAACCGACACAGGUAGAUGAGGAGAGGAUCCUAAGACGAGCGGGAGAAGCAUUGUUAAGGAACUCGGCAAAUUGACCCCGUAACUUAGGGAGAAGGGGUGCCAAGGUAACACUUGGCCGCAGUGAAGAGGUUCAAGCAACUGUUUAACAAAAACACAGGUUUCUGCUAAAUCGAAAGAUGAAGUAUAGGAGCUGACGCCUGCCCAGUGCUGGAAGGUCAAAGGGAAGUGUUAGUAUUAACUACGAAGCACAGAACUCAAGCCCCAGUGAACGGCGGCCGUAACUAUAACGGUCCUAAGGUAGCGAAAUUCCUUGUCAGGUAAGUUCUGACCCGCACGAAAGGCGUAAUGAUUUGAACACUGUCUCGACAAUGUACCCGGCGAAAUUGUAGUACUAGUGAAGAUGCUAGUUACCUGCGACAAGACAGAAAGACCCCAUGGAGCUUUACUGCAGCUUGAUACUGGGUUUUGGUAAUUUAUGUACAGGAUAGGUGGGAUACGAUGAAGCAAGGGCGCCAGCUUUUGUGGAGUAGACGUUGGGAUACCACUCUUAAAUUAUUGAAAUUCUAACCUGUGAUCAUGAACUGGUCAGGGGACAAUGUCAGGCGGGCAGUUUGACUGGGGCGGUCGCCUCCUAAAGAGUAACGGAGGCGCCCAAAGGUUUCCUCAGCACGGACAGAAAUCGUGCAUAAGAGUGUAAAGGCAGAAGGAAGCUUAACUGGGAGACUGACAAGUCGAGCAGAUACGAAAGUAGGGCUUAGUGAUCCGGCGGUA
Molecule: ribosomal RNA, 1197 nt
Filed under: human gut metagenome
Description: bacterial LSU rRNA
Rfam family: Bacterial large subunit ribosomal RNA
Source: RNAcentral